ACAACCUGCCUCAUAGUGGGGAAUAACAUCUCGAAAGAGAUGCUAAUACCGCAUAAGUUCUAUUAUGUCAGUAGUAGAGGAAACGCCUUCGCAAGAGGGUGGCUAAGAGAGGGGUCUGCGGCGGAUUAGCUAGUUGGGUAGGUAACGGCUGCCCAAGGCGACGAUCCGUAGCUGGUCUAAGAGGACGAUCAGCCACACUGGGACUGAGACACGGCCCAG
This 219-nucleotide ribosomal RNA is filed under the name uncultured bacterium. Its description in RNAcentral is "partial 16S ribosomal RNA". It matches the Rfam family "Bacterial small subunit ribosomal RNA", at positions 121 to 334 of the family's 1533-position model. The record is from RNAcentral.